CCUAGCCGCCAGUGCCUCGCCGGAGAAGAAGAACCAGACGCUGGAGGAGCUGGCCGCCGCCACCCGCCGCCGCACCGGAGAAGUUUCCGACCGCCGAUCGAGGUAAAUUUUCUCCUCCUUGCUCGUUUUUCGAUGCUGAGUCCGCCUAUGGCCAAACCAGAACCAAACCACCGACCAAACGGCCGAAAAAUCCAGCCGAACCCCAGCGGCGGGGUCGCGCCCCUCCUCGAUUUUUGCCUCCGAUGAGGCCCUUCCCGGCCUCCGUUCGAUGCAAAUUUUAUACCACUGUGAUCACCGUUCUUUUCUCUACAGGUUGAUCGGAACCAAACAUCAAAACACGACUCACGCCGGAGGAGCCGCCGCACCCGAGAGCACCGCCGCCGGUAAGUUUC
RNAcentral lists this long non-coding RNA (392 nucleotides) under Carica papaya (papaya). RNAcentral's name for it is "long non-coding RNA (CPAP_LNC014734)". Lineage: Eukaryota; Viridiplantae; Streptophyta; Magnoliopsida; Brassicales; Caricaceae. The record is from RNAcentral.